This 722-nucleotide long non-coding RNA is filed under the name Lactuca sativa (garden lettuce). RNAcentral's name for it is "long non-coding RNA (LSAT_LNC005187)". The record is from RNAcentral. Lineage: Eukaryota; Viridiplantae; Streptophyta; Magnoliopsida; Asterales; Asteraceae.
UAAAUCUCUUUGAUAUAUUACCUCAAACACACAAAUACAAAUAUAAUACCAAUAAAGGUAGCUUCUCUUAGGUUAAACAAAAUAUUAUGUUCUUUUCCCUAAUGGCUUUCAUAAGCUGUCAAAUACAUUCUCUUGAAGACUAGGCUACGAAAUAGUCAAACCUUAUAAAGGUUGAAUGAAAAAUACCAAACAAUGUCUUUCUUCUAUCAAUUUUGACCAAUUUGCUUCUCUUAGGCCUUUCAUCAAACAGAUUAUGGACAUACAUUCACACUGAAUUAACACGACAUCGACUAUCUACAAUUCCAAAAUCGUAGUUAUCAGGAGAUGAAAUAAAAAAAACUGUAACGAAUAUGUGAAUUAUAAACUAAACUAAAUAAUUCUCACCUUCAUAAUUUAACAAUACAAUUGAUCACUAACAUGAAAAACAUAAAAUAGAACUCAAUUGAAAUAUUCCUAGAUGAAAUCAUUCAAUGGUGUAAGCAAGAAGGGGAGAAAAGAAAGGAUUUUUCCUACCGCCGGAAGGAGGCCAGGCGAAGCGGCGCCAGAUGGAGGCGACCCAAGGCGUAGAUCGGAGGUGGUAGGAGUCGGCGCACAUGUCGUUGUUGGGUCAAUAGAAAAGAAGCAUUGUUGGAGCCUGGAGGUGUGAUGAUUGAGGAAGAAGAGAAAGCAUCCGUGUAAACUAAAUGAGGGGCAAUCAAGGAGAAGACCCAGUCAGCUAAUUU